AGAACUAGGUGUAGCCAAGGACAGACUUGCCGGCUAACUCUUUAAGCCUCAGCAAAGCAGAAAUGCUGAAUUCCAGGAGCCGGCAAGUCAUCCUUGGCUGCAUCCCGUUCUCU
Setaria italica (foxtail millet) is the source of this 113-nucleotide microRNA precursor. The record is from Rfam. NCBI's taxonomy places the organism in Eukaryota, Viridiplantae, Streptophyta, Magnoliopsida, Poales, Poaceae.